GACGAAGGUGGCGAGCGUUGUUCGGAAUCACUGGGCAUAAAGCGCACGUAGGCGGUGCCGUAAGUCGGAUGUGAAAUCCCUCGGCCUAACCGAGGAACUGCGUCCGAUACUGCGGUGCUUGAGGAUCAGAGGGGUGCAUGGAAUUUCCGGUGGAGCGGUGAAAUGCGUUGAUAUCCACAGGAACUCCGGUGGCGAAGGCGGCGUGCUGGACCCGAUCUGACGCUGAGGCGCGAAAGCCAGGGGAGCAAACGGG
Molecule: ribosomal RNA, 253 nt
Filed under: uncultured bacterium
Lineage: Bacteria
Description: partial 16S ribosomal RNA
Rfam family: Bacterial small subunit ribosomal RNA
Source: RNAcentral